UCAGGUGUACUCGGACCCAAGCUCGAGCUUGUUAAUAAACCCUAGUGUGCUUGCAUCAGUGUCGGCUCCUCGGUGGUUUCUCGGAUUUGCAAUCGUGGGCACAACAUUUGGGGGCUCGUCCGGGAUCCGAGAGACCCCAGGACCCCACCCAGAGGGUACCAAGCCUGCCUACUUGGGAUGACUGCCAACAGCUCUUGCAGGUUCUCUUCACCACCGAAGAGAGGGAACGAAUUCAGGUGGAAGCCUGGAAGUCUGUCCCGGGAGAGGACAGACAUCAGACUCAAAAUCCAGACCUCAAAUGCUGCCUUCCCCUUAUCCCGCCCCACCUGGGACCACAACUUGGCUGAAGGCUCCAGACAGUUCUGAGGAGCACCAGCCAGCAGAUAGAGGGAAUUCCAACUGGGAUUCAUUCUGAUGUUUCAGACCCUGCUGCCAAUAGAAGCUACCAAAUCAUGAUGGAGCGUCUCAUUCCUGUCUGAUUCCUAGUCUAACAUUUCCAACUGCAGAUGCCCAGAUGACAUGUGACCCAAGAAUGAGCAAACACGCCUGGAUUUCAGGGUUUUCUUUUCAUAGAGUUUUGGAAGUUUCAUUUUUGUUUUUAACUCACCUUCGGCAGAAGAAUACAAUUAUGGAGAAGAGGAAAAAUCAGUCAAGGGACACCGUGCCUCCUCGAAGCCAGAAUUCCAGCCUUUACAAUUUCUGCCACCACUCACAUCUGCCAGGCUUUUGUCUCCGAAAGAGUUUGUUCCAGAUAUCUGUAGUGUCAGGGAGAUGUUUCUGUAACUCAUUUUUAAUUUGGUCACAUUUGUAUUUACCAAACGAAGGAGAUUGAUUCUCCAUUUUUCAGUCUAGGAAGAAAUGCUAUGGGUUUAAAAAUAUUUUUUUUUUUCACGAUUAAGAAAUAGGUCCCUGGUAUGAAGCAGAGGAAGAGUGUAAGUUGAUGAACUGAUUGUAGUGCUUGUCAUUACGAUCCCAUUACUGCUCUAUUAUUUACAUUAAAGCCAGAGAAUAAUAUUUACUUUAAAGUGAGAAGCAGGAGGAUUUAUUGCAAUGAUCUUUUCUGACACAUGGCUGAAUUCCACAUCCCUUCAUCUCCUAUCCAUUUGGCCUCAACAGUCUUUGUUUUACAACUUUUCCCCUCAAGACACUGUCCCUGGCCCCUACUUCCAUGACGACUUACCCUCCUCAAACUUAUUCCUCCAUUUACUUUCUUUGAACUCAUUCCAAUGGCUCCUCAUGUCUUGUGAACUAAUGAGAAGAAUCAAAAAUUCCUUGGUAAGAGCAGAAUAAAGAACAACAUAUCCAAAAGAGAAGUUCCCCGUAAUACAAAUAUUGCCCUACUUUAAAAACAACAUGUCACGUGCUUUCUAAAAUAUGUGUGUAUAUGUGAUCUUCUGGAGUCUUCGUCAUAAUUCUGUGAAACAUGUAGGUGUGUUGGUUACUUUCCACGUGUCUUCUCCCGACUCCCUUAUCUACAGUUUUUCCCCUGCCUGCUCUCUUUCCUCCAGGUUGUCUUGCUGCUGGCUUUCCACUUGGUCUUCAGGAAGCAGUAGGAGUAGGUUCAAGGCACAUUGGGAGAGAUUGGGCUCCAGAGCCACCCUCUGGGGGUGGUUGAUCCCCCCUCACCAACCAGGGCUCCACAUGCCAUCCCAUCUCCACUCGCUAUUCUCCUUGCUUUUCCUUUCAGCCCUAAGGUUGGUAACAACCUUCUGCUUAAAUAGCCUCAGGUGUCUCACCAGCUUUUAAUCUCUUUAAGCCACACCUUUGUAAGUGGUUCCCUUAUCAACAUCUUCAUUGGAGCUAUCUUGAGCGAAUUCUGUUUCUCGCUUUUUCCUUGACCAACAAAACUGGGCAUAUUUUUUAGCCAUCAAUUUUGCUGAGGAAAUUAAAGUACAACGAAGUAAGUGACCUAUCUUUUUUUUUUUUUUUAAGAUUAUUUAUUUACUUAUGAGAGACACAGACAGGGAGAGAGAGAUUGGCAGAGACACGGGCAGAGGGAGAAGCAGGCUCCAUGCAGCCUGACGUGGGACUCAAUCCUGGGUCUCCAAGAUCAGGCCCUGGGCUGAAGGCAAUGCUAAAUCACUGAGCCACCCGGGCUGCCCAAGUGACCUAUCUUAAGUAACACAUAGAGUUCAGGAUAGAACAAGGCUGGGAGCCAAGUCUCCUUGUGGGUAGUUCGUGUUCACCACACUCUGAUGCCUGAAGAUGAUCUUAAUCAAAUGGGUAGUAACAGUAUUCCAUCUUAUUCAUUGGGGUUUAUCAAGAUCCUAGAACAGGGAAAAAUAUCAUGUGCUUGGCUUAUCCAAAGUACACUCGACACCCUCUAGCUUGCCUCCAUGUACCAUCAGUGAGAGAGAGUUAAAGCAUGUAUCUGGCUAUGUUUCUAUGCAUAGAUGCUUCUAAUGAGUUUGAGUGUAGACAUGAAGGUUAGGAAGCAGCGGACGUGCAUGGGCAUGGGGUGUGUGUAUUCCAGCUUGUACUGGAGUGUCUGCUUUCUCUGCAGCACCGUUCCCAGCAGCACGGUGACCUUUCUGCAAGAACACACCCCAGGGCAUCUCUGAGCAUCAGUGCAGGCUCAAUUUCUGUGACGACAUCCAAGUGCAACUUCCCGCCCCCCUCCAGGGAUGUCUUGAGGCAUCUGAUGCUCUUUAGUAAACCCCAUUAUGCCUCAGUGAGUAAGAAACUAGGUAUUUUUGAGUCUGUAGCUAACAACAUUGGUCUAUGACUUCCAGAUGAAAUAAUAGUUAUGCUUUUCCCCAGCCAUGUAAAGCCUCCCGAUCUAUACUGAAAACCUGUUUCCCUAUUUCCCAUGCCUUAUUUUUCUUCCUUAUUGCAGUAAGAGAUCUUACAAUUCAUUCCCAAAGGAAAUAUUUUGUGUAUUAUCAGGUUCAAGGUCUGUCUUUUCUCUGUCCACCAUCAUUCACUAUCACUGAGCCCUUUAUUCCCUCCUCUCCUGCAGCAAAACAGGUAAAAAGGAGAAGACUGUCUCAGGGGUCUUUUUCUUUCUGGCUGUUAGGAGAGCUGGCUCUCAGGUAGUAAUGUCAGGUACGGAAGUUAGAAGUUUUGAAAAUCCUAUCUUUCCCCCUCUCUACUGGGGAGAAUAACAUCCUGUGUGAUGAGAUUUUUGUAGACCUUAUUCCCUCCUUUCUAUGCCUAUGCCUAUUUUAAAAAUAACUUGAGAUAAUAAAGCCUGGAGGGAGAAUAAAAUAAAGGAAGAAAAAUAACAUAAUACAUUGGAAUUUACAUAUAUUGAAAUGUAUCUUGUUUUGUCAAAGGAACCUGGGAAACAGAGAUAGACUUUUACAAGUUCCAUCAAGUAGCUGGAGAACCUGGAAGUAUUGUGAGGUUUAAAGAUGAACAUUGUUUGUUGACAAUCCCAAAUGUCCAAAUUCUUGUCUUAAAGAUGUCCUUGGGAGUCAUUAGGAACUGGAGCUUAUGGUUUCCUUAUGCCCUGCCCUAUCUGCUGUUUCCAGCCACCAGCCCCAUAAUUAUGCAUAGUUUGAAAUUUUGGAUUCCUUAAUAAUUUUAGAAGUACAUAUUAAAUUUCAAGUAAAUUAACAUUCUUGAAAGUAGCACAUCCAUGUGUCUUCCCACAAGUGCCCAUGCACACACAAUAGUGAUGCAUAACAAUAUAUAGAUGUAUAUACACUUGUGUGUGAGGUAUCGAAAGGAAGAACAAAUUCAUUUUUUUUUGUCUUUCUGCUAAUAAAGAAGAAACUAUUUUGUAGGCUGAUCAUAGGUUCACAGGUGUAUUCCAGCUGCCUUACUGCCCAGCUCAUAUUCAACACCGCAUUGGAACAAAAACCCCUCACACCAUCCCCAUUCUCAAUAAAGGAUACUCUUCAAGUCUGAUACUGAUGGACCUACCUAGAACAAGUUAUGGUUUUUACAGUUUUUCAUUAAUACAUUCAUUUAUUUCACAAACAUUUAUUCUGUGACAUCUCCAAAAUGUCAGGCACUUGCUCAGGGCUAGAGAUGCAAGGAUGGACAAGAUGGGACCGGGCAGAAGGUGCUGGUGCUGCCAGAUGGACAAUGUCUUCAACUGUGGAUCAUUUGCUGUGUAAACACGGGCAAAGGGGACUGCUGGGGUAUGGUUUGGGGAAAAAUAAUUGUGUACAUCAGAUCCUUCCCUCUUGCAGUUCUCAGCCAAAGUAGAGAGGUCAACAUCUCAAAUGAAGAUUGUGUCAUCAAAGGGCUUUGAUUUAAAGCACUAAGGCACUCACUUAAAGGUCAAUUAUCCAUGAGUAUACAUUUUAGAAACACCCCAAACCAUAUAUCCUUUGGAAAUGAGAGUCAUACUUUUUAAAAAUGAUUACAUUUGAAAGGGAAAUCUCAUGAAAGAUGUUUUGUGUCCUAGGAUGAAAUAAUUGUCUUCUUUGUAAACUACUGAAUGUAUGUGGCUUUAGUCUUCAUUUAUGAGUGUAGAUAAUGUAACUGUCUUCAAAAUGGGAAUGUGUUUUAUACAUUGGUUUUGUGCAUUUUAAUCAAUUAGAGCUUCAGAAAGAU
Molecule: long non-coding RNA, 4506 nt
Organism: Canis lupus familiaris (dog)
Lineage: Eukaryota; Metazoa; Chordata; Mammalia; Carnivora; Canidae
Exons: 4
Source: RefSeq, a predicted model, not a curated record